This 429-nucleotide ribosomal RNA is filed under the name Bacteroidota bacterium. RNAcentral describes it as "Bacteroidetes bacterium partial 16S ribosomal RNA". It matches the Rfam family "Bacterial small subunit ribosomal RNA", at positions 355 to 776 of the family's 1533-position model. Lineage: Bacteria; Pseudomonadati; Bacteroidota. The record is from RNAcentral.
UAGGGAAUCUUCCGCAAUGGACGCAAGUCUGACGGAGCAACGCCGCGUGAGUGAAGAAGGAUUUCGGUUCGUAAAACUCUGUUGUUAGAGAAGAACAGCGCAUAGAGUAACUGUUAUGCGUGUGACGGUAUCUAACCAGACAGCCACGGCUAACUACGUGCCAGCAGCCGCGGUAAUACGUAGGUGGCAAGCGUUGUCCGGAUUUAUUGGGCGUAAAGCGAGCGCAGGCGGUCAAUUAAGUCUGAUGUGAAAGCCCCCGGCUCAACCGGGGAGGGUCAUUGGAAACUGGUUGACUUGAGUGCAGAAGAGGGGAGUGGAAUUCCAUGUGUAGCGGUGAAAUGCGUAGAUAUAUGGAGGAACACCAGUGGCGAAGGCGACUCUCUGGUCUGUAACUGACGCUGAGGCUCGAAAGCGUGGGUAGCAAACAGG